UGUCGAGUGGGGUACCAGAGCCAGGAGUUCCAAAAAUCUUCGAGAACUUGGUGUGAAUAUCCUGUGUAAUCCUUUGGCUGUACUGGAAUGGGAUUUGCAGUGGCAUUGAUUAUCGGAUGCAAUAUUUGUUGCGGUCUGGAAUACGUGUGGGCAUUAUUUCUUCGGCAAGUGAUGAACG
This is a long non-coding RNA of Cryptotermes secundus, 178 nucleotides long. RefSeq lists it as uncharacterized. Lineage: Eukaryota; Metazoa; Arthropoda; Insecta; Blattodea; Kalotermitidae. The record is from RefSeq and is a predicted model, not a curated record. The transcript is spliced from 3 exons.